Long non-coding RNA from Tachysurus fulvidraco (yellow catfish), 436 nucleotides. RefSeq lists it as uncharacterized. Lineage: Eukaryota; Metazoa; Chordata; Actinopteri; Siluriformes; Bagridae. The record is from RefSeq and is a predicted model, not a curated record. The transcript is spliced from 2 exons.
CCUGACUAGCUACGACUCCACCACCUUGACGUUGAGGAGUCUGAUUAGCUAUGACUCCACCCCCCGGAUGUUGCCAGUUAGUGGGAGGAGCCUGAAUAGCUACGACUCCACUUGACUUUUGCUCUGCAGCAAGGAGGAGGAAGGCAGCAGAGCAGAGAGAGCUGUCCGCUGAACAUUACCGAGCAUGCUGGGAGCUGCUGCGCGUUGCACGCUGGCAUCGGCUGCCCCGUGUGCAUGGGAAAGCCGUGGGUCGUCACCGUGGUAACUGUGUAAGAUAUCGGAACAGAUCCUUGGUGCAUCUUUGGGAGGGGAAACAAGGACAUUAGUUAGAAAAUAUAAAUACAAGCUUAAAAUAACAAACAAAUAAAUAAUGCUACGGCUUCCGUACAAUUGUAAGUGCCAUGAAGGGUAAUAAACACAAAUCAGUGUGAAUAAA